This 478-nucleotide ribosomal RNA is filed under the name uncultured bacterium. RNAcentral's name for it is "partial 16S ribosomal RNA". It matches the Rfam family "Bacterial small subunit ribosomal RNA", at positions 28 to 507 of the family's 1533-position model. The record is from RNAcentral.
GAUGAACGCUGGCGGCGUGCCUAACACAUGCAAGUCGAACGGGAAACCUUUUAAUGAAGCUUCCGCAGAUUUAGCUGGGUUCUAGUGGCGGACGGGGGAGUAACGCGUGGGUAACCUGGCUUAUACAGGGGGAUAACAGUCAGAAAUGACUGCUAAUAUCGCAUAAGCGCGCAGGACCGCAUGGUCCGGUGUUAAAAACUCUGGUGGUUUAAGAUGGACCCGCGUUGGAUUUGCUUGUUGGAAGGGUUACGGCACACCAAGGCGACGAGCCGUAGCCGGCAUGAGAGGGUGAACGGCCACACUGGGACUGAGACACGGCCCAGACUCCUACGGGAGGCAGCAGUGGGGAAUAUUGCACAAUGGGGGAAACCCUGAUGGAGCGACGACGCGUGAAGGAAGAAGUAUCUCGGUAUGUAAACUUCUAUCAGCAGGGAAGAUAGUGACGGUACCUGACUAAGAAGCCCCGGCUAACUACGUG